RNAcentral lists this ribosomal RNA (1554 nucleotides) under Salmonella enterica. RNAcentral describes it as "bacterial SSU rRNA". It matches the Rfam family "Bacterial small subunit ribosomal RNA". RNAcentral also lists the same sequence under 165 other names. Lineage: Bacteria; Pseudomonadati; Pseudomonadota; Gammaproteobacteria; Enterobacterales; Enterobacteriaceae. The record is from RNAcentral.
UUAAAUUGAAGAGUUUGAUCAUGGCUCAGAUUGAACGCUGGCGGCAGGCCUAACACAUGCAAGUCGAACGGUAACAGGAAGCAGCUUGCUGCUUCGCUGACGAGUGGCGGACGGGUGAGUAAUGUCUGGGAAACUGCCUGAUGGAGGGGGAUAACUACUGGAAACGGUGGCUAAUACCGCAUAACGUCGCAAGACCAAAGAGGGGGACCUUCGGGCCUCUUGCCAUCAGAUGUGCCCAGAUGGGAUUAGCUUGUUGGUGAGGUAACGGCUCACCAAGGCGACGAUCCCUAGCUGGUCUGAGAGGAUGACCAGCCACACUGGAACUGAGACACGGUCCAGACUCCUACGGGAGGCAGCAGUGGGGAAUAUUGCACAAUGGGCGCAAGCCUGAUGCAGCCAUGCCGCGUGUAUGAAGAAGGCCUUCGGGUUGUAAAGUACUUUCAGCGGGGAGGAAGGUGUUGUGGUUAAUAACCGCAGCAAUUGACGUUACCCGCAGAAGAAGCACCGGCUAACUCCGUGCCAGCAGCCGCGGUAAUACGGAGGGUGCAAGCGUUAAUCGGAAUUACUGGGCGUAAAGCGCACGCAGGCGGUCUGUCAAGUCGGAUGUGAAAUCCCCGGGCUCAACCUGGGAACUGCAUUCGAAACUGGCAGGCUUGAGUCUUGUAGAGGGGGGUAGAAUUCCAGGUGUAGCGGUGAAAUGCGUAGAGAUCUGGAGGAAUACCGGUGGCGAAGGCGGCCCCCUGGACAAAGACUGACGCUCAGGUGCGAAAGCGUGGGGAGCAAACAGGAUUAGAUACCCUGGUAGUCCACGCCGUAAACGAUGUCUACUUGGAGGUUGUGCCCUUGAGGCGUGGCUUCCGGAGCUAACGCGUUAAGUAGACCGCCUGGGGAGUACGGCCGCAAGGUUAAAACUCAAAUGAAUUGACGGGGGCCCGCACAAGCGGUGGAGCAUGUGGUUUAAUUCGAUGCAACGCGAAGAACCUUACCUGGUCUUGACAUCCACAGAAGAAUCCAGAGAUGGAUUUGUGCCUUCGGGAACUGUGAGACAGGUGCUGCAUGGCUGUCGUCAGCUCGUGUUGUGAAAUGUUGGGUUAAGUCCCGCAACGAGCGCAACCCUUAUCCUUUGUUGCCAGCGGUUAGGCCGGGAACUCAAAGGAGACUGCCAGUGAUAAACUGGAGGAAGGUGGGGAUGACGUCAAGUCAUCAUGGCCCUUACGACCAGGGCUACACACGUGCUACAAUGGCGCAUACAAAGAGAAGCGACCUCGCGAGAGCAAGCGGACCUCAUAAAGUGCGUCGUAGUCCGGAUUGGAGUCUGCAACUCGACUCCAUGAAGUCGGAAUCGCUAGUAAUCGUGGAUCAGAAUGCCACGGUGAAUACGUUCCCGGGCCUUGUACACACCGCCCGUCACACCAUGGGAGUGGGUUGCAAAAGAAGUAGGUAGCUUAACCUUCGGGAGGGCGCUUACCACUUUGUGAUUCAUGACUGGGGUGAAGUCGUAACAAGGUAACCGUAGGGGAACCUGCGGUUGGAUCACCUCCUUACCUUAAAGAA